GGUUACGCCAUAAAUGUUUAAUAAUCCUCUGCACUGAUGAAAUAAUCGUAAUGAUCUUAAAUUCGUGCCUAUUUAUACUUGAAUAUCAGGGAACCUGAAAUUAUAUUCUCUUCAUCAAGAAUAAGUCAAACAGUUAAAAUUUUUAAUGGAAACAGCGUACUCCUCCAAAGCUCUAAGCUUUUGUCGGAAAACUAUUGCUGGACAUAAUCCUAUCCCUUCAAAAUUUUGGAAGCGAAACAUCAUUCAAUAAGAUGGAGAGUUGUGUAAAGGUUGUGUUAUCAGGUACAAUCUGUGUUGCACAAUGAGGUCGAAGCUCACUUUACAUAUAGUUGCUAGUUACAAAAUCAGUAUGACUGUUUGAAACACCAGUAAUGGUUGUAUUUUUGUAAUCUGAGGUUGUUUCAAUGAUCGGUUAUGCAACACAUUCUCAAUUUUUCCAGUGAUGGAAAGUUGAUGUUGUUCUGUCAGAUGGUUUGAGUCGUCCAUCAAACAGCUGAUGUGCAUGUGUAUUGGUAGGUUGUGCAUUAGAUUAUGGUGAGAUCAAGGUUCCAGAAGGGGAUUGGAUCUUACUUAAGGUUAAUCACAAUUAUGUCUCUAUGUAUGGCGUUUCCAUGGCAAGCCUUCCCC
Molecule: small RNA, 627 nt
Filed under: Vigna angularis var. angularis
Lineage: Eukaryota; Viridiplantae; Streptophyta; Magnoliopsida; Fabales; Fabaceae
Description: Non-protein coding transcript
Source: RNAcentral